AUCGAUGAAGAACGCAGCGAAAUGCGAUAAGUAAUGUGAAUUGCAGAAUUCAGUGAAUCAUCGAAUCUUUGAACGCACCUUGCGCUCCUUGGUAUUCCGAGGAGCAUGCCUGUUUGAGUGUCAUUAAAUUCUCAACCCCUCCAGCUUUUGCGAGUUGUGAUGGGGCUUGGAUAUGGGGGCUUGCGGGUCUUUACUGAUGUAAAGGUCAGCUCUCCUGAAAUACAUUAGCGGAACCGUUUGCAGUCCCGUCACUAGUGUGAUAAUUAUCUACACUGUGAUGGAUUGCUCUCUGACUAGUUCAGCUGCUAAUCGUCCGUUAUGGACAAUGUUUAAUGAACUUCUUGACCUCAAAUCAGGUAGGACUACCCGCUGAACUUAAGCAUAUCAAUAAGCGGAGGAAAAGAAACUAACAAGGAUUCCCCUAGUAACUGCGAGUGAAGCGGGAAAAGCUCAAAUUUAAAAUCUGGCGGUCUAUGGCUGUCCGAGUUGUAAUCUAGAGAAGUGAUGCCCGCGCUGGACCGUGUACAAGUCUCCUGGAAUGGAGCGUCAUAGAGGGUGAGAAUCCCGUCUUUGACACGGACUACCAAUGCAUUGUGGUAUGCUCUCGAAGAGUCGAGUUGUUUGGGAAUGCAGCUCUAAAUGGGUGGUAAAUUCCAUCUAAAGCUAAAUAUUGGGGAGAGACCGAUAGCGAACAAGUACCGUGAGGGAAAGAUGAAAAGAACUUUGGAAAGAGAGUUAAACAGUACGUGAAAUUGCUGAAAGGGAAACGCUUGAAGUCAGUCGCGUUAGUCGGGGAUCAGCCUUCCUUUUGGUUGGUGUACUUCCUGAUUGACGGGUCAGCAUCAGUUUUGACCGGUGGAUAAGAGCUUGAGGAAUGUGGCAUCUUCGGGUGUGUUAUAGCCUCUUGUUGUAUACAUCGGUUGGGACUGAGGAACUCAGCACGCCGCAAGGCCGGGUUUUUAACCACGUACGUGCUUAGGAUGCUGGCAUAAUGGCUUUAAUCGACCCGUCUUGAAACACGG
This 1022-nucleotide ribosomal RNA is filed under the name uncultured fungus. RNAcentral's name for it is "eukaryotic LSU rRNA". The stretch from base 343 to 1022 matches the Rfam family "Eukaryotic large subunit ribosomal RNA", at positions 1 to 664 of the family's 3401-position model. Lineage: Eukaryota; Fungi. The record is from RNAcentral.